RNAcentral lists this long non-coding RNA (362 nucleotides) under Ananas comosus (pineapple). RNAcentral's name for it is "long non-coding RNA (ACOM_LNC026471)". The record is from RNAcentral. Lineage: Eukaryota; Viridiplantae; Streptophyta; Magnoliopsida; Poales; Bromeliaceae.
UAAUCAUCUUCUCCGCUUCGCUAAUCGUCUUCUCCGGUGGCGGCGUUCAAAGGGACGGAGAAGCUCCACGAUUCCGCUGGAGAGGGAGAGGGAGAGAUAUUGGGGGAGAAGAGAAGAGGAUGAGCAUUUUACUGUGGAGAGAGAAAGAGAGAGAGAGAGGGAGAGAGAGCCUGGGAGAGAGAGGAGAAAAGAAAAGAAGAAAUGACAAAAGAGAGGAAAGAGAAAGUUCCGUUAACUUUUUAACCCAGCUAACAGUUGCUUUUCAUAUUAAAAGUGAAAUCAAUCUCCACCAUCCAUCUAUCUAGAUGGAUGGUGGAUGGCUUAAUAGCACAGGGGCUGCUGUGCUCUUAAGAGCACAGCAG